ACAAAAUGAAACUGAGGAGGUCAUUUUUAAUGUAUAAGUAAGAGAGGAUGGGUAUCAUCACAAGCCACGCACUUGUACACAACACCAACACCAAUCUGUGGCCUUCAUCCUCUCCUUUCUCAUCUCUUCUGGCUCCUUGCUUCAGACAAGGUAGAGCUGAGAAGAUGGUGAUGAUGAGCCAGCAAUUAGGGAGGCUUGUUAGGAGCCUCAAAUCAAAGAUGAAGUCACUGAGGGGAAAUAAGAGGCCAAUCUACGAUAAAAUGGACAAGACAGAGAGCAUGAGGGUGGAGAUCAGAAGCAGGAGGGCUCAGAAGCUGAUAGUCAAGAACCUCAAGAUGGCAGACUCCAUGGUCAACAGCAACAACAAAGCAUUCAUCUUUUGAUCAAUUAGUAGCAUAUAACGGUUAAUAUAUAUGGUUCCGUGUACUGUUAUCACCUCCGCCCACCAUGAGACAAUUGAUCUCAUGAACACAUGUGAUGAAGAGAGGACCAUCAUGUGGCUCUUACUUAUGUGUUGUGGUUUUACAAGCUGAAGAACUUGACAUUAAACAGUAAGAAUAUAAUAACUUCAGCUCAA
Molecule: long non-coding RNA, 577 nt
Organism: Zingiber officinale
Lineage: Eukaryota; Viridiplantae; Streptophyta; Magnoliopsida; Zingiberales; Zingiberaceae
Exons: 2
Source: RefSeq, a predicted model, not a curated record